Small nucleolar RNA from Scleropages formosus (Asian bonytongue), 149 nucleotides. Lineage: Eukaryota; Metazoa; Chordata; Actinopteri; Osteoglossiformes; Osteoglossidae. The record is from Ensembl.
CUUCAGUGAGGAUACGAUGACGAGUCGGAAGAGGGCGCAGAUUGUCUCUGGGUUUCUGUCUCCGAGUCGCGUUCUGCAUCUCGGUGUUGGGGCUCCUGAGCACUGUGCUCAUUCUUGUUUGAAGACAUAGAGGCAUUUGUCUGAGAAGG